RNAcentral lists this ribosomal RNA (138 nucleotides) under uncultured bacterium. Its description in RNAcentral is "partial 16S ribosomal RNA". It matches the Rfam family "Bacterial small subunit ribosomal RNA", at positions 355 to 509 of the family's 1533-position model. The record is from RNAcentral.
UGGGGGAUAUUGCACAAUGGGGGGAACCCGUGAUGCAGCGACGCCGCGUGAGCGAUGAAGUAUUUCGGUAUGUAAAGCUCUAUCAGCAGGGAAGAAAAUGACGGUACCUGACUAAGAAGCCCCGGCUAACUACGUGCC